This 1035-nucleotide ribosomal RNA is filed under the name Podila verticillata. RNAcentral's name for it is "LSU rRNA". It matches the Rfam family "Eukaryotic large subunit ribosomal RNA", at positions 38 to 932 of the family's 3401-position model. Lineage: Eukaryota; Fungi; Mortierellomycota; Mortierellomycetes; Mortierellales; Mortierellaceae. The record is from RNAcentral.
GCAUAUCAUAAGCGGAGGAAAAGAAACUAACAAGGAUUCCCCUAGUAACGGCGAGUGAAGCGGGAUGAGCUCAAAUUUGAAAUCUGGCUGGUUUACUAGUCCRAGUUGUAAUUUAAAGAARCGUUUUCGGUGGCAGCCUGGGUAUAAAUCCUUUGGAAUAGGGUAUCAUARAGGGUGAGAAUCCCGUCUUUGACCUASUGCAUGCUACUAUGUGAUACSUUUUCAAAGAGUCGAGUUGUUUGGGAAUGCAGCUCAAAAUGGGKGGUAAAUUUCAUCUAAAGCUAAAUAUUGGCGAGAGACCGAUAGCGAACAAGUACCGUGAGGGAAAGAUGAAAAGAACUUUGAAAAGAGAGUUAAACAGUGCGUGAAAUUGUUGAAAGGGAAACGUUUGACACCAGUCAUGUGGGUGGAAAAUCAGUCUUUUGCAUUGGGGAGUUGUAAAGGUUCGGACCGCAAGGCCGGCUUUUGCUUCAUCUUUGGUGUAAGGGAUGCACUUUUUCAUCUACAGGUCAACAUCAGUUUCUUUUGCUGGACAAAACUCCGAGAGAAGGUAGCAGCUUAGGCUGUGUUAUAGCUCUGGAGCGAUACAGUGAAGGGGACUGAGGUUUUCGCAGCGUGUGCUCUCGGGCAAGGCUGGAUGGGUGCUAUGGGAUCGUUCGGGGUACAAUGCCUGGCAUUUUGCUUCGUGUCUUUUCUAUACUCGCUCAACUCAGCUCUUCCACGCUUAGGAUGUUGACUUAAUGGUUUUAAACGACCCGUCUUGAAACACGGACCAAGGAGUCUAACAUAUAUGCAAGUGUUUGGGUGGCAAACCCAUGCGCGUAAUGAAAGUGAACGUAGGUGCGAUCCGCAAGGUGCAGCAUCGACCGAUCUUGAUAUUUUUGGAUAGAUUUGAGUAAGAGCCMUAUAUGCUGGGACCCGAAAGAUGGUGAACUAUGCCUGAAUAGGGKGAAGCCAGAGGAAACUCUGGUGGAGGCUCGUAGCGAUUCUGACGUGCAAAUCGAUCGUCAAAUUUGGGUAUAGGGGCGAAAGACU